RNAcentral lists this long non-coding RNA (1311 nucleotides) under Felis catus (domestic cat). RNAcentral's name for it is "lncRNA (ENSFCAG00000052394.1)". The record is from RNAcentral. Lineage: Eukaryota; Metazoa; Chordata; Mammalia; Carnivora; Felidae.
AUCCAUGAAAAAAAGAAAUAGCUAUGUGAACUUUCAUGCAACUUAACGGUACUUACUCCUGCAAGAGAGCAAAAUCUUCUCCUGCUGCCAUCCAUCCCUGUACUGCAAUAGCACCCUCUCUUGUAUCCAUUCCUUACCCACAGGAGCAGGCAAAGACAAUUUACUAUGUACUAGACAUCUUUGGUUAUGAUAAAUGGUGUGUGUCUGUGUGUGAUAAUGUUGUUCAUCUCUUCAACAGAGGGAGAGAAAGAGUCAGAAAAGAGGCCUCUGGUGGGUUGCAAGUGCAUCCACUAAAUUUCCUGGCAUGGUAGAGAUAUGUAUUACUUAUAUUUAUAACUCACUGGCCAAGACUAUUCAUAUUCCACUGGAUCACAAGAGAGAUUGGAAGUGUGAUUUUACUAUGUGUGCAGAAGGCUGAUCCUACCAUGUGAUAAAAUCAUUUAGUGAGCAUAAGUUACAUUCAUUCUAAGGAUCCGACCUUAAGGAAUUUCUCUGCUUAUGGAACAAGAGAAAGAGUCUUGAACAAAGAGAUCAUAAAAGAGGUGAAUGAAGGAUUUCAGAGUAAAGUUUAAGAUUUUCCUGUGCUCUGAUCAUUGAAAUAUUCUUUCCAGACUUCUCUUUCCAAUUUCUUUCUCUUUGGAAGAUGGGACAAGAGUUACUGGAAAUUCUGUGCUGGCCUAGGUUUGGCUAUGAUAUUCUAAUUUUUCACCAUUUCCCCUCAUUCCAACCUAAGUCACAUUUUGUUUGGAUGGAUUGUUGAUUCACCAUGUCUGGAGUCCUCACCUGUGUCACUUUUCUUCCUAAAAUCCUUCCUGUUUCCUGACAUGUUUCUGGUUGGUGAUCAACUUUUCCUUUCUUUCAUGGCUUAAGGAGGUUAGACAAGAAUCAUCCCAUUUGACCUUUGUGGUUUCACUCCUGGUGUUCUCUUGCUCAGACUUUGGUGCCUGCCUUCAAGGAGCCCCACCCCUUGGUGGUGAAUGGCUUUUCCUCCUGUCUCCACUACUCUCAACCCUUCUCUCAAAGCCAACCAUCCUGAUCAAUCCAUAAACCAAUUUUUUCACCUUACUUAAGGUAAUAUGACAAAGUAUAACAUAUGCAGGAUGUGAAGUCAUACAGACUGCAUAAAAUCCUGGUUCUACCAAUUCUAGCCAUGUGGCCUUCAGUGAGUUACUUCUUACCUCACUCAAUCUUUAUUUUCCCAUCUGUAAAAUGGAGUCAGUGACACAAAACCUCAAAGACCAGUGGUGACAAUCAUAGGAGAAGAUGGUAGGUAAUGCAUGAGUAUUGUUUCCUAUAUCAGUUUCCUGUCUU